AAAACGUCAGGUGCCCCAGGCUUGGGGCACAGCUGUCCAGCCCCACUCUCUGUGUGCAGGCCCGGCUGGCCCUGAGGUCCAGGGAGGAGAAUCUCCCUCCCUGGAGAAGAUGCUCUUUGGCCAAAUGCUACUGAGGGUGAAGAUGUCAACCUGCUUCCUGAAUCUGAAGAUUCAUGUCCAUCAAUGUUGGGAAAGUUUUAGUCAUGUUUUGUUACUGUCUUCUACCUGUUUCUGUCUACACCCCUAAUAAAAUUGGAUGCUUACCUCACAAUAUUCAAAAGUGAAUCUCAAAUGGAUUAAAGGCCCAAAUAAGAAAAAGCAAAGUGUUAAAACUCACAGGAGAAAAUAUAUGAGUAUUUAGCUACGAUACUAGGGGUAAGAAACAGUAUCUCAAGUGAGAUAUAAGAAGUUUAAACCAUAAAGGAAAAGAUUGAUAUGUCACAUCAAAAUUUAAGACCUCUGCGAAAAUAAAACAUAAUAAAAAGUAAAACAACAAACCACAGCCUGGGAAAAGAAAAGAGGUUUUCAAGAAUACCUAAUAAAAGUUUAAUAUUUGGGGCCGGGCGUGGUGGCUCAAGCCUGUAAUCCUAGCACUUUGGGAGGCUGAGGUGGGUGGGUCAUGAGGUCAGGAGUUCAAGACCAGCCUGGCCAACAUGGUGAAAACCUGUCUCUACUAAAAAUACAAAAAAUAGCUGGGCGUGGUGGCGAGUACCUAUAAUCCAAGCUACUUGGGAGGCUGAGGCAGGAGAAUCGUUUGAACCCAAGAAGGGGAGGCUGCAGUGAGCCAAGAUCACACCAUUGCACUCCAGCCUGGUUAACAGCGUGAGAUUCCAUCUCAAAAAAAAAGUUUAAUAUUUGGAAUAUAGAAAGAAUGUCUGCAAAUUCAAUAAGGAAAGGGAAAACAAUGGAAGAGAAGAAAAUGGACAAAGGAUUCAAACAGACAACUCAUGAAAAGGGAAAUCCACGCAGGGAGUGGUGGCUCACGCCUGUAAUCCCAGCACUUUGGGAGGCUGAGGAGGGCGGAUUACCUGAGGUCAGGAGUUCAAGACCAGCCUGGUCAACAUGGCGAAACCCCGUCUCUACUAAAAAUACAAAAAUUAGCUGGGCGUGGUGGUGCACACCUGCAAUCCCAGCUACUCGGGAAGCUGAGGCACGAGAAUCACUUGAACCUGGGAGAUGGAGGUUGCAGUGAGCCAAGACUGUGCCACUACACUCCAGCCUGGGUGACAGAGCAAGACUCUGUCAAAAAAAAAAAAAAAAAAAAGAAAGAAAGAAAAAAGAAAAGCGAAAUCCAAAUGACCAACAAAUGUGCCAUGCUGCUCAACAUCGCCACUAACCAGGGAAAUGCAAAAUAAAACAGUAACGAGAUACUAUUUUAUACUUAUCAGAAUGGUAAGAAUUAAAAUUUCCAAAAAUUUCUGCCCAGUCUAUAUGAAGAAAAAGGAGUGUUCACACAUGCCAUUAGAAGGAAAAUUUGGUACAACUAUGGAGUUAAAUUUGGAAUUUCUUAAAUUUUAAGAUGUCGAUAAUCCAGAAACUCUUUUCAGAGAUAUAAACCAUGGAAAAACUGUAACAUAUGUACACAAUGAUACAUGUACAAGAAUGUAGUUGCUGUGGCACAGUAUGAAGUGACACAAAAGUGAAAGCAACCUCACUGUCAAUAAAUAGGAGAAUGAGUAAAUACAUAAAUUGGACUAUAGGCAUAUAAUUCAGUCUUCAAAUAUACUACAGCCAAAAUUAGUAAAGUAGCUAUAUGUAUAUUAGCGUGAUUAAAUCCCAAAAGCAUGAUAUUGGAUUCUUAAAAAUGCAAAUGUUGAAUGAUCUGUAGAAGAUAAAGCUUUCAGUACAAUACUAUAUACAUCUUAUGGCUACACUCUGUGGAUAUGCAUUAAAACUAUAAAUUAACCUGUAAGAAUGAAUAACAACAAAGUCAAGAUAGCGGUUACUGCCAAGGAGAGACUAUGACACAUUGAAGACAAAAAUAUUCCCAGUUCUUCUCCUCAUCCUGUGUUCAUGCUCUUUUCAAUGUGACUUUUUAGCACUUCUCAUCAAAAUAAGGAGUCUAUUACCCCACCUCUUGAGUCUGGGAUGGCUGUGUGACCAGAUUUAAUCGACGACAGAAUGUAGUGGAAGUGAUGGUGUGUCAAUCCUCUUUUCCAGCUCUACUACCACUAUGUAAACACGUCUGGGCUAGCCUCACGGAGGAUGGCUCACAGUGAAGAAAAGUCCAGCUGUGCCAGCAGAGGUCAUUUAUACCAGCCUACAGCCAGCCAACCCCCAAACAUGUGACAACGCCUAGCCCAGAUAAUCAGAGUGGCCUACUCGACCCACCACUGACCAAAGACUCAAAAAUGAGCCCAGGCGAGACCAGAACUGCUGAGGUGACCACCCGUAGAAUCAUAAAGAAUAAAUGCUUAUUGUUUCAGCCAC
RNAcentral lists this long non-coding RNA (2430 nucleotides) under Homo sapiens (human). RNAcentral describes it as "HSALNT0184517". The record is from RNAcentral. Lineage: Eukaryota; Metazoa; Chordata; Mammalia; Primates; Hominidae.